UCGGGAAUUUUGGGCAAUGGGCGCAAGCCUGAUCCAGCAAUGCCGCGUGAGUGAAGAAGGCCUUCGGGUUGUAAAGCUCUUUUGUCAGGGAAGAAACGGUAGUAGCGAAUAACUAUUACUAAUGACGGUACCUGAAGAAUAAGCACCGGCUAACUACGUGCCAGCAGCCGCGGUAAUACGUAGGGUGCAAGCGUUAAUCGGAAUUACUGGGCGUAAAGCGUGCGCAGGCGGUUGUGUAAGUCAGAUGUGAAAUCCCCGGGCUCAACCUGGGAAUUGCAUUUGAGACUGCACGGCUAGAGUGUGUCAGAGGGGGGUAGAAUUCCACGUGUAGCAGUGAAAUGCGUAGAUAUGUGGAGGAAUACCGAUGGCGAAGGCAGCCCCCUGGGAUAACACUGACGCUCAUGCACGAAAGCGUGGGGAGCAAACAGGAUUAGAUACCCGAGUAGUCCCUGAGCGGGCUGGCAAGGCGCAU
Molecule: ribosomal RNA, 472 nt
Filed under: uncultured bacterium
Lineage: Bacteria
Description: bacterial SSU rRNA
Rfam family: Bacterial small subunit ribosomal RNA
Source: RNAcentral